This 254-nucleotide ribosomal RNA is filed under the name uncultured bacterium. RNAcentral's name for it is "partial small subunit ribosomal RNA". It matches the Rfam family "Bacterial small subunit ribosomal RNA", at positions 26 to 285 of the family's 1533-position model. The record is from RNAcentral.
AGGACGAACGCUGGCGGCGUGCUUAACACAUGCAAGUCGAGCGGAAAGGCCCUUCGGGGUACUCGAGCGGCGAACGGGUGAGUAACACGUGAGUAACCUGCCCCUAGCUCUGGGAUAGCUCCGGGAAACCGGGAUUAAAUACCAGAUACGACCACUUUAGACAUCUGUCGUGGUGGAAAGGAUUCCGGCUAGGGAUGGGCUCGCGGCCUAUCAGCUUGUUGGUGGGGUAACGGCCUACCAAGGCGACGACGGUA